UUUGACGUACUUGAAUCAAGCCAUUUUAAGGGGUCAAGCUACUCCUUAGUUAUUUAGAAAGAAGCAAUUUAUUACCUAUGCUUUCAUACGUCAAAUUCCUGCACCACAACCCUGAGGAGAAAAUGUCACAGAUUGCUUUAUGCAUAAAUGGAUUUGGAGACGCUGCAGCGCUCAGGACAGCUUUCGGAUCCAGUGAAGAGCAUCAUCCAACACAAAGCCAACAGCACUGCAAUCAACAAUAACCAUCAGGACAUCUUUAGUGCCAUUAUGGAUAUUAAACAUCAUCAAGACAAUGUUAUCUGUGCAAUCAAAUACAGUUCCAGCCAAAAGACCAAUGUCAACGGAAUAAUUUAAUUAAAUGAGGAAAUACUUUAA
Sinocyclocheilus anshuiensis is the source of this 375-nucleotide long non-coding RNA. RefSeq lists it as uncharacterized. The transcript has 2 exons. Lineage: Eukaryota; Metazoa; Chordata; Actinopteri; Cypriniformes; Cyprinidae. The record is from RefSeq and is a predicted model, not a curated record.